Molecule: long non-coding RNA, 1141 nt
Organism: Triticum aestivum (bread wheat)
Lineage: Eukaryota; Viridiplantae; Streptophyta; Magnoliopsida; Poales; Poaceae
Exons: 2
Source: RefSeq, a predicted model, not a curated record
CACUGGAAAAAAAAACUGCUCAAACUGAACUAGAGUCCACCCCCGAUCUCGCUCCCGAGCCCAAACCAAUCCAUUCCCCUGGGCCCCCCUCCCGAUUUGGUCGCCGCCACAAUCAUCGCCGCUGAAUCCGGCGUCGCCCGCCCCCUUCUCUUCCAAUCUCCUGGUCUGCAGGGUAGACCGCCCACCAGAUCCCUCACAAAGAACCUGUCACUUGUGACAGAUACGGGCGACCAAGGGGUUUGACACGCCUCCUCGCUAGCCCUCGGUGCGGCGGCAGUCUCGAUGGAAUCCUGCCCUGGUGGGGGAUCCGAGGGAAGAAGCCGACGAGCACAAGGCGCUACUGCCAUGGCGUCCGAAGGGAGGCAUGGCAGGAAAUCUGAGGGAGGAAGUCUACAGGAAAUCCGCCAACGGCAUAUGUGAGCACCGCCUGCUGCUGUUGUUGUUGCAGCAGCAGUAGCGUGUGCGUGUCCGACUCCCACCUGUUUGGAUCGAACGACUUCUCGAUCCCUGGCUGCGUUGGGUAUCGAAUCCCAAAGUGAGAGGUUAACUCGUCGGCGUUGGACUGCCCUCUACACGAGCGCCAUCAGUACAAGGCUACAAGCUCAAGCCAUUGAGAGAUGAUUCAAGUCAUGCACUGAUGUUCAGAUUUCCAUUCAUUCCACACUGUUGAUAUUUAUGAUCCACCUUUGGUAUGUACAUCUCUGAAUGUACACAGGUCUGGCAUUCACAUACCUGAAGGAUGUGGGAUUUGAGCGUGUGUGGGAAGAGCAAAAAGAUACUUUUCUAAUCCCUUGAGCUGGACAUUUUUCAUGCAUAUAUUUUUCAAUAUGCUGGCUUCCAAGGAUGAAUAGGUGGAGCCAUGGCCUUCACAUAAAGACAUCGUCGUAAGAAAUUUAAGGUCAAUUAACUUCACCUUUUUGUAAUGCUUAUCAUGUUAAUGGGUGUAUUUUUUCCCAUGCAUGUUUGUAUAGUUUGGCCGAAGAUUGUUUUUUCCUGUUUACGGCCUGACUUUAAGUUUUGAACCCGAGCCAUAAUUUUAAGUGCGGCCCUGUCUCUGUAAUCACCAUGUCCCGCCCACCACUUGGUAAUGCAAAUUUUUGGUCCACUCCUAAAGGAAAUGGUCCAAUGAAUAUACAUGGAA